Corvus hawaiiensis (hawaiian crow) is the source of this 2709-nucleotide long non-coding RNA. RefSeq lists it as uncharacterized. Lineage: Eukaryota; Metazoa; Chordata; Aves; Passeriformes; Corvidae. The record is from RefSeq and is a predicted model, not a curated record. The transcript is spliced from 2 exons.
GUAAGACCUCAAAUCCUGUCUCUUACUAGCAUUGGAUUAAUCCUGAAACUAGUCAUGAAGGUUUCAGGCAGCAUGAAGCAUGCAGAUGACACAAAUUACAUGAUAGUCACAGAAUUCUCUGAAGAGAAUUAAGCUGAAGGAUUUUUGUCAGCAAUAAACACCCUCCUUAGUGAAAUGGGAAGGAUCAAGUCACUGAAAUACCCCCACAUCUUCAUCUAAUAGAGGCUUCAGGAGCGAGGCCUAGCAAGAAACAAGGCUCCGAACGCGACAGCAUCUCGUAGCAAACACCUACUUAACCCUAGACACGGUCUCUGAUGCAAAAGCACAUGGCUGUACAAACACCUGGAGCAAGGCAGGUAAAACUGUACUCUUCUCUACAGUCUGAAUCUUUCCUCCUAGCCCUCUCUCUAGUGAGCUCCAACAGCAACUACCUUUUAAGAGAGCCUAAUGGCUGGACUUGAUGAUCUGAUCCUAAAGGUCUCUACGUCUUUUCCGUCUGUUAAACCGCCGUGGGCGGCGCUGCGCCCGCCCGCUCCCCGUCGCAGGCGGGAGGCUGACUGACCGUCCCACACCGCCCCCAGGCAGGCGCCGCGCCCGACCGCGGGGUGCUCCGCUCCCCCGGCCGGAGCCGCCCAUGAGUACUUCCUCCUUUCGGCCAGCGGCGCUGGCUAAAGGAAACAAAGAGAAACAAGCUCUCAGCCACCCCAGGCGCCAGACUUUCGCCCUCUCCCGAAGCACACUUCUCCACCUGGACAGGUAGCCCCGUCAUCGCCCGCUGCAGAGAGGCGAUGGGGCCCCUCCACAGGAGUCAGGGGCUCUCCGGCGGCCGGCCGGCCCGCCACAUGCGGCAGACCCGCUCCUCCGCACACAAAGAGCCGACGCUCUUCAGGCGUUGACCCCCGGCGCUUCCCCACUCUCUCACCGGUGCCCCGGUCCCUCUCGUCGCCUUCAUCUUCCUCCUCUCGCUGCUGCCCAUCCCGCUCCCCGCCCUGCGCCUCCACCGGCACCACCGUGAAGCUCGUCGGCAUGGUGCAGACGGCCCCAGACCCGCUGGCGCCUCCUCCUAGGGCAGCGGGCAGGGUGAGCCGGGCGCUGCCGCCUCCCUCACGUGAGAGCCAUUUCCUCACGCAGCGGGGGGGCGGUGGCCGGCACCGCGCCACCUCCCCCUCAGCGCCUGACUGAUGGCGCUGCGGCCGUAGCUCCGAAGGGAGGGGCUCGGGCAGGGGCCCGGGCCCUGGGGCAUCCUCUCUUUCUCAAACCUUGCCUUACAGCUAUCCUUACAGCGCUAAGACCACCAGGCUGCUGCUCCUCUGAUCCCGCCAGACAGAAACUGCCUUCCAAAGGAAACUAGAGCCAGGCUGUAGGACCUUAAUCCUCCGGAUCACUGAACAGAUGACAGCAUCCAGAACGCCCAAGCAGGAGAUUUAUGAUCACCUUUUGGACAAGUGGAGGAGAAAGUCCACUGCACACAUUUGGACUACCAGGAGAUUAAGAUGGCUCCCAGAAAUCUGCUCUCCUGUGCAGCAGACAUGGUUUGCAGUGGACAAGUCAAGGUCCUGUGGUUCAGGCUGGAGUCACCAUUUAAACUCUGACUGGAAGUGAAGCAGAUUCAAAGAGUCAGUGGAUGAGUAGUGUAUCAAAUUACAUAUUAAUGAUGUAGCACUAGUGAUGAGAUACAGCUCUUGUUUACCUCCAACUUCUAUCUCAAAGGAAGUUGUAGCAUCUCCACUCCAAAAGUAGAGAAAACAGAUUUAGAAGCCAAGGGCAUUUUUCUUGUCUCCUGCUCUCCUAUCUUCUCAAUCACAAUGCUAGAAUAAAGCAGAAAUGCUAUUCAUGUCAGUCUGUAUCUGUGUCUUUUGGAAGAGGACUCUGGUUGUUUUGUGGGUCCCGUACUUCAUUGGGAUGGAAGAUGUCUAUGUAACACUACAGUCUGUCCCACAGCAUAGAGGCCUUCAGAGAAGGGGGUGGGGAAAGUGAUUCUGGCCACCAAAGGUGGCAGUAAGAUGGCAGAUGUGGAGAUGGUGGGGCAGGAAGAAAAGGACAGGGAGAGAUGCACGGUAACAUUUUGAUACUUGGUAAAUGGGCUUCCCAUUCAAACCAUGGUGUCACUGUGGUAACGAGAAUAGUGGUUUGCAUGAAAAAGAAGUUUCUUCAUCCUCCCUCACCCUUCUUCCAAGCUUAAGAAAGCAACUGGAAUGGUUUCUUUGCUAAUGAUAGCAGAUCUCCAAUGUUAAUGAUGUUAUCUGCAGAGUUAAGGAUGUUUUGGGGCACUUUUAAAGUUCAUUUUGUUAUGGUACAUACUAUUAUCAAAAUUAAUAGUGUGAAGGAAUCAGAUACAAUGAUAAAUUAGAAUAGUAAAUGUAAUUUUGAAAUAUAUACACAAAAUAAUAAUUUCUUCUUCAAAACAAGAACUGAUUUUUGUCCCAGGACAGAGCUAAUUUUUUAAUGGUGACUGUGAGGGAGCGGAGCAUUGAACUAUGUGUGCCUGUCUAGGUUGUUAUUCUAUCCCUUCACCAUCAUCACUGGGGCAAAAACAAGGGAUUCUUGUCUGGAGGGUCUGUCCACCACUAGUUUUCAUUGUCCCAGGUUUAGUGAGCAUAUUUGCAUGUAAAUCACUCUUUCUUUGUACAUUUUUGUUAUUAGUAUUGCUCCUGUUACUCUUCAUUUUCUUAUCUCCUUGCUGUUUCCAGUAAAUUGCUCUUACCUCAA